GUUUUUAUUUCAACAUUUUUCGCCGGAUACAUUUUCACUCACCACUGAGAAAGUAAAACUUUUCCACAGACCUAUUCACAACAAAUCACCAGCUGAGACAACCUGUGGAUAGGAUUAAAUCCAGACAUUUGUGUUGUAAACACUUUUCACAAGUUAAAUGACAUACAAAUAACAAAAAUACUCCACCUUUUAUUGCAAAUUUAUUCCAAAUUUAAAAUCGAUUUUUAACAAAUAAGAUAAAUUCCAAAUUAAUGUCACAUUGUCACAAAUGUCACCAAUACACAUUUUUUCCACCAGUUUUGUGUAUUCCUUUCUGUUUGUGUAUUCACUUUUGUAGAUAUCCUGUGAGUGCACUGCUCUUAGGCUUAAGGAAAAAGCUCUGGUUAGUUAGUAUAAGGUGAGGAAGGAUUUUCCGUUGCAUGCUGAAAUCUUCGUUGUAAAUCCUCAAGAUGGUCGCGAUCGGUAGGAAAGGUUUCAGGAUUAAGACAGGGUAACAAAAAAUUAAAUAACGGGAUUAUAGGAAGGAAUGCGUAUGUUCGAUAUAUAUAUACAAAUGUACAGAUAUUUAUUUUUCUACGGGAAAAUAUCGUAGGAAAGAAGAAUUGAUUUUUUCCAUUUACCGUGAUUUUAAUAAGAAUUAAAAAAGGUAUUUUACAGUACACACAUGCAAGGUAAACAGUUUUAUGAAAAGCAACGUGAAUAUAUUUAGCUAUUCUAAUACACCACUAAUGCACGUGCGUUCAUGGCAACGUUCGCGCAUGAUGAAAAAAAAAAAUGAAUGGAAAAAUAAAAGAAAACAUGUUAACAAAGUGAAAGGUAAAAAGCUAAAAAGGAAAUGUGAUGUAACAUACCUUUGGAUAAACUAGCAAGGGAUAGGCAGGUUGGUUGACAGUAAAUAUAACACACAAGAAUACACAGCCAGGGAAAAGAUGCAAUUAGGUGAGCAGUGCGGGAAUAUAA
This 960-nucleotide long non-coding RNA is filed under the name Mytilus galloprovincialis (Mediterranean mussel). Lineage: Eukaryota; Metazoa; Mollusca; Bivalvia; Mytilida; Mytilidae. The record is from RNAcentral.